GGCUCUGCGCUCGGGCGCGCAGCAUGUGAUUCCGGGCCGGCCGGAGCCAGGGGAGGGGCUGCCGGGGCGGCCUCUUCCUUCUCCCGCUUAGCCCUGCCCGCGCCGGGGCGGGGAGGCUGCCUGAAUCACGGGCAUCAUGUGCCCGAUGCCCGGGCUCCAGCGGGGCAUUUAAAUGCCAGCGGGCGCCGGGCCCGGAGCAGCGCCAGCUUCCGCCACCAUCUCCGCCACCGGCCCGAAGCAGACGCCCGGCCUGAUCCAUCUCGCCCGGAGAGAGACGACUGCGCGCUCCUCGCCCGGGUCCUGCUUCGCCUCCGUCGCCGCGCUGUGCGCCCUCGCCGAGACCGCUCGCCAUGAGAGCCAUCCCCGCGCCCGGGAUCCGCUUCCUGCGCUCUUUCUCCAGGGACAGCUGGUACCGGGGAUUAAUUCUUGUGUUGACGUUCCUGUGUUAUACCACUUUCCAUCUCUCACGGAAGCCCAUCAGUAUAGUAAAGAGUGAACUGCACUAUAACUGUUCUUCACGGGGACCCAAUCCGCACAAUGAAUCAAACAGCACUACGUGGUGUGACUGGAAGCCUUUUGAUCAGGACAACUACAAAGAACUCUUUGGAGCCCUGGACAAUGCGUUCCUGGUUGCCUACGCUAUAGGAAUGUACAUCAGCGGGGUCUUCGGUGAGCGCCUCCCAUUGCGCUACUAUCUGUCUGGAGGAAUGUUGCUGAGCGGGUUGUUCACUGCCUUAUUUGGACUGGGCUACUACUGGAACAUCCAUGAACUGUGGUAUUUUGUUCUUGUACAGGUCCUCAAUGGCUUGGCGCAAACAACGGGAUGGCCGUCCGUAGUGACAUGUGUUGGCAACUGGUUUGGAAAGGGGAAACGAGGCUUCAUCAUGGGCAUCUGGAAUUCACACACAUCUGUCGGAAACAUUUUAGGAUCCCUGAUUGCUGGUGCCUGGGUUUCAAAUGCCUGGGGCCUGUCAUUCAUCGUUCCUGGGAUCAUCAUAGCCAGCAUGGGCGUCAUCUGCUUCUUGUUCCUCAUUGAAUAUCCCGAAGACGUCGACUGCAGCCCUCCUCUCCAUCAUACCGCCGGUUUGGAAGAGAAAGGUCUUGAGGCGGGCCACUCCAUCAGCGACGGGAGCCUAAAUAUCUCCAGCAACAGCCGAGAAAACAUUGUGGACAUGUCGGAAGGUAGCAAAGAAUCGACAGAAAACCGGGAAGCCAUUAGUUUCAUUGAUGCCCUACGGAUACCUGGAGUUGUGGAGUUCUCCUUUUGCCUGCUGUUUGCAAAACUAGUCAGCUACACGUUCCUUUACUGGCUUCCCCUCUACAUUGUGAAUGUGGCUCAUUUCACCGCGAAAAAGGCAGGGGAUAUGUCCACCCUCUUUGACGUCGGCGGCAUAGUUGGAGGCAUCCUGGCAGGUCUCAUCUCUGACUACACAGGUGGCAGGGGCACGACAUGCUGUACGAUGCUCAUUUUGGCUGUUCCCAUGCUCUUUGCCUACAACCAUGUUGGCCAGAAUGGACUAGCAACGUCAAUAGUGAUGUUAAUUAUCUGCGGCGCCCUCGUCAACGGGCCGUACGCUCUCAUCACAACUGCGGUGUCAGCGGACUUGGGCACUCACGAAUGUCUCCAAGGAAACGCAAAGGCCCUUGCCACCGUUACAGCCAUCAUUGAUGGAACGGGAUCUGUCGGUGCUGCCCUUGGACCCCUGCUGGCAGGUUUGAUCUCUCGCACUGGCUGGGACAAUGUCUUCUACAUGUUGAUGGCCGCCGAUCUCCUGGCUUGCCUAUUCCUUUCACGUGUGGUGUUCAAAGAAAUACGAGGGUGGUGCGGCUCCUGCGGAAGAAAACGAGGCUCUUGUGUGGCAUUAACAGAACCAGUAGUGUUGGAUAUGAAAUAGUUUGCAGUGUCAGACAUCACUCUUGAGUAGGCAUGUUCUGGGGCCAUAAGUCAUGCUUUAAAGAAUUUUGACGGAGACCCACGUGACCGGAGGAAACCAUCGAGGCAACAGGGAGAGCCUUGCCGGAGGCGGUUGGUUUUGUUGCCCGCUCCCCUUGUUCACAGCGGGAGGAAUAAAUGAAGCUGCAACGGGAUGUGCUCCAGAAACAAAAGAGAACUCUCUUGCUGAACGCCAGUCAAGCUGAUCACCAAGCUUCACACUUUUUUAAAAAAGAAAAUAAAAUAAGAAUAAUAACUGACGGAAGGGAACAGGGGAACAUGAUGCCGUGGAACCAAAGGAGAAAAAGAAAAGCUGGCAUAUUUGAGAUCCGUGCCAUAUCCAAAGCCUCUGUUUUGUAUCGAUUGCCCUUUUGUUACUGCGAUUUUUUGUUAUUAAAAAUGGCACGGGA
This is an RNA transcript of Podarcis raffonei (Aeolian wall lizard), 2343 nucleotides long. It is a transcript of the gene named solute carrier family 37 member 2, with no coding region annotated. Lineage: Eukaryota; Metazoa; Chordata; Lepidosauria; Squamata; Lacertidae. The transcript has 20 exons. The record is from RefSeq and is a predicted model, not a curated record.